CCUACGGGCGGCAGUGGGGAAUAUUGGACAAUGGGGGCAACCCUGAUCCAGCCAUGCCGCGUGUGUGAAGAAGGCCCUCGGGUUGUAAAGCACUUUCAGUGAGGAAGAACGCCUGGUGGUUAAUACCCAUCAGGAAAGACAUCACUCACAGAAGAAGCACCGGCUAACUCCGUGCCAGCAGCCGCGGUAAUACGGAGGGUGCGAGCGUUAAUCGGAAUUACUGGGCGUAAAGCGCGCGUAGGUGGCUUGAUAAGCCGGUUGUGAAAGCCCCGGGCUCAACCUGGGAACGGCAUCCGGAACUGUCAAGCUAGAGUGCAGGAGAGGAAGGUAGAAUUCCCGGUGUAGCGGUGAAAUGCGUAGAGAUCGGGAGGAAUACCAGUGGCGAAGGCGGCCUUCUGGACUGACACUGACACUGAGGUGCGAAAGCGUGGGUAGCAAACAGGAUUAGAUACCCCAGUAGUC
This 462-nucleotide ribosomal RNA is filed under the name Vreelandella stevensii. RNAcentral's name for it is "partial 16S ribosomal RNA". It matches the Rfam family "Bacterial small subunit ribosomal RNA", at positions 338 to 795 of the family's 1533-position model. Lineage: Bacteria; Pseudomonadati; Pseudomonadota; Gammaproteobacteria; Oceanospirillales; Halomonadaceae. The record is from RNAcentral.